GUUUCUCACUUCAGCAGCACAUAUACUAAAAUUGGAAUGAUAUAAAGAAGGUUAGCAUGAGCCUUGUACUGAAUGACUUACCAAUUAAUAAAGUGUUCUAUAUUUUU
Molecule: small nuclear RNA, 107 nt
Organism: Mus pahari (shrew mouse)
Lineage: Eukaryota; Metazoa; Chordata; Mammalia; Rodentia; Muridae
Source: RefSeq, a predicted model, not a curated record